RNAcentral lists this long non-coding RNA (9915 nucleotides) under Malus domestica (apple). RNAcentral describes it as "long non-coding RNA (MDOM_LNC016137)". Lineage: Eukaryota; Viridiplantae; Streptophyta; Magnoliopsida; Rosales; Rosaceae. The record is from RNAcentral.
GUAGACAUCGAAAUUUCGUAAAUAAAUGUUGACCGGUAAAUCAAAGUGUCAACGCUCAUGUAUUACAUAAAUUUUACACGUAGCGUGUGAUUCAACGAAAAUUGAAAUGAGUUGGAAAAGUCAUCAAAUAGGACACGUGUCAACACCUGGCAGAAACGACUUAUUUCAUCUGGAAUAUUAUAUUCAAAAUUAGGCCUUGGAAAUUUCUAUAAAUACAAGCCUAUUUCAUUCAUUGAAGAAAACCAAAAUCAUUAGGCAAAACUCUUGAAGCUCUGAAGCUCUGAAACUCCGAAGCUCUCAAGCAUCCAGGUUCCCGAAGAAUCAAGAAAGCGUUCUUCGUUCAUCGUUCUUCCAAGAUCAAGCCCGACGGCCCUUGGAUCAACAAUCGUCCACCUUCAAGAUCAAGCCCCGACGGCCCUUGAAGAAAGUGUUCUUCGUUCUUCGUUCUUCCAAGAUCAAGCCCCGACGGCCCUUGGAUCAACCAUCCACCAAUUCAAGAUCAAGCCCCGACGGCCCUUUGAAGAAAGCACCAUCGUUCAUCAUCCGUUCAUCCAAGAUCAAGCCCCAACGGCCCAUUUGGAUCAACAACGUCGACAAAUCCACACAUCCAACCGUUCUUCAAGAUCAAGCCCAAAAGCCCUUGAAGAUCUGUUCAUCACUGUUCUUCAAGAUCAAGCCCAAAAAGCCCUUGGAGAUCCGUUUGUCACUGUUCUUCAAAGAUCAAGCCCAAAAGCCCCUUUGAAGAUCCACUCAAAUCCACCUUCAAAGAUCAAGCCCACGGCCCUUUGAAGAAACUUCCAACAGUUCAUCCAAGAUCAAGCACGGCCCUUGGAUCAACGAAACACCCACCAAUCAACACCUUACGGAGAUCGAAUCAGAGGAUCAAAUAGAAGAGAGAUUGUAACCCAAAAUCAUCAAAUACAUAAUAUUUGUUUGUGCACGUCGUUCUUGUCUCUUUCGUUUCAGGAAUUUUCCGUGUUCACAAAUUGGCACGCCCGGUGGGAUCAUCUCUACCUCUCAUCUCUUUCUCCGUUCAAGGAAUCCAAGCACACCUCAAAGUCAAUGGCAUCAAGCAAGGGACAAGCCGUUCUUGCAACCACUGAGGGAAGGAUCCUAAGCACUUCUGCCGCAAACGGACAAUCCAUUGGCGCCACAACCGCUCCUCAACAUGCCACUUCAAAAUUGGUGCCGCUAAAAGAGCAAGGGGAGCAUCCAAGGUGUGAGUAUGUCAUCAACCUGACCUCGCUGGAGGCACCAAAGCAUGAUGUUGGGGCACACAAGAUGACAUCCCAAAGCAGCCAACGACGUUCUUCAUCAGCAUCCUGGAUGUCUAAAGGAAAGUCACGUCUAUUGGUCGCACAAGUCAUGACUAUCGGCGUUACCUCCGUUGAAGAACAACUGGCUCAGAUGAAUGAAGCAAUCGCAAGGCUAACCCGAACUGUGGAAGAAAAAGACUUGCAAAUCGCUGCACUCGUCAGCCGAUUGGAGCCACAGGACGACGAGAACCCUAACCCAGAAGAUGAGCCUCAGGUGGAAAAACGAUGCGAAGCCCGAGCCAGACCAAGCAGCGGCACUCAUAGGAUCUCUUUCUAUCCAGCAGCUGCAAGAGAUGAUCACCAACACCAUCAAGGCACAGUACGAAGGGAGCUCAAAUACCUCCGGGUUGUACUCAAAGCCGUAUUCAAAGAAGAUCGACGCCCUAAGGAUGCCAAGGGGUUAUCAACCACCAAAGUUCAUGCAGUUUGAUGGAAAAGGAAACCCAAAGCAGCACGUUGCACAUUUCGUCGAAACUUGCAACAACGCGGGGACAGAGGGAGGCUACCUCGCCAAGCAGUUUGUGCGCUCGCUGAAAGGAAAUGCCUUUGAGUGGUACACGGACCUAGAGCCCGAGUCCAUCAACAGCUGGGAGCAAUUAGAGCGGGAAUUCCUCAACCGCUUCUACAGCACCCGCCGCACUGUGAGCAUGCUAGAACUAACGAGCACAAAGCAGUGGAAGGACGAGCCAGUCAUUGACUACAUCAACAGAUGGCGCACUCUAAGCCUCGACUGUAAAGACAGGCUCUCGGAAACCUCUUCAAUCGAGAUGUGCAUCCAAGGCAUGCAAUGGGGUUUGCAAUACAUCCUUCAAGGCAUUAAACCGCGGACCUUCGAGGAAUUGGCCACUCGCGCCCAUGACAUGGAGUUGAGCAUCGCCCAUCAUGGGAAGAAAGAACCGAUCGCCGACUACAAGAACGACAAAGUUCUUGGGACAAAGGUGGAAAAGGUUACAUGGAAACCCACCAAGGAAGCGAUGACGGUCAACACAGCUCCCGUCAAAAUCUCCACACGAGGCAAGGCGAUUCAAGCCGAAGGCUUUCGUGAUCAAGAGAUGCGUAGACGCACUUUGAAGGAGCUUGAGGAGAAAACUUAUCCAUUCCCCGACUCUGAUGUGGUUGCCAUGUUAGAAGACUUGCUGGAAAAGAAGGUGAUCGGCUUGCCUGAGUGCAGACGGCCAGAAGAGAUGAAUCGUACCGACAGUCCAAGAUACUGUAAAUUCCACCGCUUCAUCAGUCAUCCGACAGAAAAGUGCUUCGUGCUGAAAGAUCUCAUCAUGAAGCUGGCUCAGAAAGGAAUCAUCGAGCUAGAUCUUGACGAUGUGGUGAAGUCAAACUAUACCACUUUCACUUCUGGCUCUUCAGACUCAAAGUUUUCACCUCAACCGCUGGGGGCAUCCUCCAAGACAAGCAAAGUUGAAGGAUGGACUCAAGUCACUCCUAAGAAAUUGCACAAGAAGCAUACGUCUCAUCCACAUGUCGGCCAAUCGGAAAGGGGGCAAAGCAGCUCUUGUCAACCUUCAAAGCAACAUGAACGUGUUGAAGAUGAUGAAAUUUCGACACAUAGAUCGUCCAUCCCCAUCACGAUGCGCGAUUUCUUGCCCGAAGACUUCUUCAAUCACGUGGUCAAAGCUCCUUGCUAUGAAAAUUGUGAGGAACGCCUCUCCCGGAUUGCUUGACAAAAUUCACUAAGCUCCUUGUCCGCACGAGCCUAAACUGUAGGACACGAGGCUCCUCGCCUGCACGAGCCUAAACUGCAUGGCACAAUGCUCCUGGUCUGCACGAGCAUAAAAGGGCAACACCAACGCUCAUGGUCUGCACGAGCAUAAAAGGCAACACCAACGCUCCUUGCCUGCACGAGCUGAAACUGCAACACGGCACCAAAUGCUCCUUGUUCGCACGAACCAAGGCUCCUCGCCUGCACAAGCCUAAACUGCACGGCACUAUGCUCCUUGUUCGCACGAGCCUAAACUGCACGAACCAAAGCUCUUUGUCCGCACGAGCCUAAACUGUAGGACACAACACACUCCUUGCCUGCAUGAGUUAAAACUGCAAAACGGCACAAAAAGAAAAUACCAAAAAAUAUGUAUGUAUUUGAACUACGUUACGACUUGAUCUCUUCUUUGGAGGGGUACGUAGGCAGCUCGAAUGUUCAAUUUUUUUUCGAGUUCAGUCACAUCAAAAUCAAAAGAAUAAAUGUUUUAUUAAAGAAGGUCGAUUUCAUUACAAAUUUAUUUUGUUAAGAAAAUUUGCAAUUUUCUUUGUACAAAAUUAAAUUACAAUUUCUUCAAAAAAAAAAAAAAAAGAUUCCUUUUAUAUAUAUAUACAUGUAUAUAUAUAUAUAUAUAUGUAUAUAUAUAUAUAUAUAUGUAUAUAUGACCUCUAUCCAGCCAGCCCAUCAAAAGGAGGUCAUCCAAACCCAAGUGGCAGCGACCAGGCCCACACCUAUGUCCAAAUCCAGCUCCAAGAAGAAGACCCAAGUCCACCAGCAACAAAUCCAGGCCCGAUCCUCUCUUGAUCCAUACACCCCUCAAGCUACAGGGCCCUGUCAUCCUCUUCAAUGCAUCAGAGAUCUGAAUUUACUUCAUUUCCUUCCCCGAUGACUCUUCCACUCCCACCAUCUCCGCCGCCCAGACCUUCGAAUGCCACUCCCAGGGCGUCUCCGAUCUCGCCUUCUCCGCUCGGCUCACCGCCAUCAAUUCGCUCCACCGCGCCGUCACCAAGCUCGCCCUCAAAUGCGACCGCAGAUCCGUCAGCGUCGGCGACGAGGCGCUUGUCCUCAUUUCUGCGAUGCCGUAACCUCACGCGCCUGAAGAUCCGCGCAUACCGUGAGUUGACCGAUGCUGGGAUGACGUCGCUCACCAAAAACUGCAAAAAGUUGAAGAAGUCCCAAGACGACGACGAGGGACGUGACGGUGACGUUUACACCCAGCGGUAGAGUAUCACGGUGCAGCUCGUGCUCUUGGUGGAUGUGCAAUCUAUGUCAAUGAUAAGCCAGGACAUCACAAUUUUGACCUUCUGAGGAAGCUGGUUCUCCCUGAUGGAUCUGUCCUCCGGGCCAAGUUACCUGGCAAGCCUACCCGUGAUUGUCUCUUCGCUGAUCCAGCAAGGGACAGGACCAGCUGGCUCAAAAUAUGGGUGUCAACAAUCUCUCUGGUGUGGUUGGUGUGUUUAAACUGUCAAGGUGCCGGUUGGUGCAAGAUUGAAAAGAAGACGCGCAUUCAUGAUUACUCUCCUGGUACCCUCAGUGGUUCUGUUCGCGCCGCUGAUGUUGAUGCCAUUGCUCAAGUUGCUGGUGCUGAUUGGAAUAGAGAAACAGUAGUAUAUGCUCAUAAGUCAGGCCUACUUGACAUAUUCAAUUCAAGUGCUGCUGUGGAUGAGGGGAAAUUGUCACCCUAUUACUACGAAGAUGCCUCUCUCACUAGGUGCCCCGAUUGCAGGCUCUGCGGUAGAUCAGAUUGAACAAGUGGUGGGCUAUGUUAGUCUAGGCUAUCAUUUCGGCAUGCUUGCCUCAAUCCUUUUUGGGAGACACCACAAAGCCGUACUACAAUCCUCAAAACCCAAGCUUUUCGUAAUGGGGACACAGGGACGGGUUUCACGAGCGUUGAAGCAGUUAAAGAACAAGCUCUAAAGCUCUGCAGCCGGUCUGUUGAAACGCACCUGAUUGAUGGAGCAAGCCACUUCCAAAUGGAAGGCCCUGCUUAUGAUGCACAGAUGGAGCUUGGUUGGUUUACUAUGUGCUUUCGGUGUCAAAUUAAGCUGCUGUCUCAACAAAUACGAGAGAAAGAGAGUCGUUAGAUCAAUCUUUACGGUUAAGUGUCAUCCGAAGCAGGAAUAUAACUGGAUAUUCCAAGUCUCAAGUAUCAUAUGUUCGUCGCUCUCAAAACGUUGAUCUUCGGAAGCAAAUCGGCCGUCUCUGGUCAUUUUGUUGCCAUUUGAACCAUCAACUGCCCAACCUUCAGCCAUUAUCGCCAUCGCCGUCUUCCUCCUCGAGCAGUACCCAAACCGAGUGGAGAUCGUGCAGCUGGACGACUCAAACGGGGAGAUCCAGUCGGACCCCAACCUGUCAUUCGAGCACCCGUACCCGCCAACCAAGACCAUCUUCAUCUCGGCCAUGAAAGCCACCACAACCUCCUCACUUCUUCUCAACUAUCAGUUGACCAUUGUAUGCUCCCCCCAAGUUGGUUCUUCCUCCACGGCUGCAGCAAAUCCAAGCUCUUCCAUGGAUCCAAGCCCUUCCGCGGCCGCCUCGUCGUCUUCCUCCCUCCAUUGAAGAAGCAGCGGCAUCGAGCACCGCCUUAGCCAGCUUCUUGUCCCCCGUCAACGCCUCCCCCGAUCGCAGCAGCAACCAUCCUUGCCGUCUCUGCCGCAACGGCCUCAGCCUUCGCCUUCCUCCUGCGUGCUCCACGAAUCUAUGGCCACCCAGUUAUCGCCGUCUUCCUCAUCGGCUGCGCUGCUGAUCCUGGACACCAACCUCUGCGCCAGAACUGUCAUCAAGGGCACCGACGACGCCAUGGCUGCUCCUUCUGCACUCUUGCUCCGCUCCCUGCAAAUUCCCCAUCCCACCAUCCUAAUUUAUACAGAAAAAAAAAAAAAAAAAGGUGGUGGUGCGUCUGGCACCACGUGAAUAAACAAGGGAUGGUGGAGUCUUUGGUGCUCUGGCACCAUGUGAAAAAAAAAAAAGGAAAUCUGGAUUGAUCUGGCACCAUACCUAAAAAAAUAAAAAAAUUAAAGAAUAAAAAAAGGGAAAGCAAGUAGGAAGGUGGGAUGGUGCGGAUUGCACCAUGUAAAUAUACAUAUACAUGUAUGUGCAUGAUAUGUAUGUAUAUAGCAAACAAAAAAAAAAAAAAAAAAAAAAAAUACAUCGAGAGAAAUAAAGUCCGUUUUUAUUUAUUUCUUUCUGGAAUUUUUUACAUAAAUUUGCAUUGUACAAAAAAAAAAUUAAAAAAAAAAAAAAAUCAAAUCAAAUCAAAUUUACAAGAGGGGAUCUUCAAGGACGAUCAUGUGCCACCUCACCACUCGGCAGAGCUCCAGAAAUGAGAAGCGCUGGAGUUUGAUUGUUUGAAGCCUCGCCACUCUGCGGAACUCCAGGAAGAAGAGGAGCCAAAAGUUGAUCAUUCGGAGCUUCACUAUGCGGUACAGCCCCAGAAGACGAAGGCAAAUGUUGUUGGAACAAACCCACAAACCUCCGAUGAUCAAGUAAAAUCUGACCAUCAGAUUCCUGCAUCUGGUCAAUUUUCCUCUUCAUGUUUGUGGCAUAGUUGUGUGCAAGCUUGUGCAACUGUUUAUUCUCAUGCUUGAGCCCUCUGAUCUCCUGUUUGAGACUCAUCACUUCAGCCGCCAACGAUUCAACUUGACGGGUUCGAGCAAAUAGGCGUUGGGCCAUGUUGGACACAGAACCCGCACACUGCACACUAAGAGCCAGGGACUCCUUAACAGCCAAACUCAUCAGACCGCCUGGAAAGUAGUCUGUUAUCUUUGGGAGUGACAAGGUUCCGGGCCACCACCGCAGCGGUCAUGUCAUUCUUCAUCACCGAAUCCCCAACAGUAAGAGGACCAGUAGGGGAUAUGAAGGAUGGGCGCCAUAUGUUAUCUGGAGAAGACGGGACUACCUCUUCACCAAGGUUCAAAUCAAAACGACGGUCGGAGGGUCCAGACAUUUUCAAAGUGUUGAAGGAAGAAGAGAUCAGACAAAUCAAGAUCUUAGAAGUACAAGAGGGGAGUUUUCACAAGCAAAAAUUCAAGUGUGCUUUGAAACGAACUGCAUGCCUCUAUAAAAAUCAUCACUCGACGGGAUUUCAGAGAUCGAAGAGGCGAGCUCAGAAUUCGAAGAGGCCAUUCAAAAAUCGAAGAGGCAAGCUCAGAAAUCGGAGAAGCAUCUUGCUUUUUCAGACGUGUCGGCACCCGUCACACGCAAACUCAGCUUUGCGGAAAUCACGGGUAAUUUGUCGAAGCGCCAAUCCCAGAUAUCGAAGAGGCGCCAGUCUUUUUCAGCCGCGUCAUCACCUGUCAUAUGCACACUCAACUUUGCGCAAAUCAUGGGCAAUUUGUCGAAGAUUUUCGGUGAAGGAGAAAGCACGUUAAGUUUACUGUUCAAUCACGCGUUAGUUGCCGACACGAGUGAAAGAAUAGUACCUCUACAGGUAUUAAGGGACCUCCUAUAACUGUCCACCUUCACCUUCCAUAGCAAGGCAGACACACAGAGUUUUUCUUCAUCUCCAAAGAUGUUUUCCCAACGAAGCCUCUCGAGUCAUUCAGUGUUCCUUAUUCCUUGGGGUACCUCUGCAAGCCAAUGACUUCAAAGCAAAAGUAUCUCAUAUCACCAGGGUAGAAAGCAAGAGUAUCUCAUAUCAUGUGUUCUCCCUGUCCUUCCCUUUGUCCUUGUUCUUACCUACAAAGACAAGGAUAAAGAAAACAAUAUGCCAGAACCUCCACUCAAACUCGGGUAAGGAACCGACUGCUUGGAGCCCUUCCCUGAUUGCCUACCUAGCACUGCUAUCGAGUACUCGUCUCCCACUGCUGCUGUACUUCCAAAGAAGCUGCCACAUCUGCCCGAGGAAUAGAUAAAGGAUACCUUGAAGCAUGUGGAGACAAGGUGCAGAAGGCACAAGCAGAGAAGAAUGCGGUAUGCACGGUCAACUCAGCAGAAGGAGUCCGAACUGAGGAACUCGAGAAGCUGCCAUAUCUGCCUGAAGAAACAAGCAGAGAAGAAUGCAGCAUGCACAGUCAACUCAGCAGAAAGAGUCUGAGACGAAGAACUCGAGAAGAUGUCGCAUCUGCCUGAGGACGGUGAACUUGUUUUGACCCUCAAAUUCUUGGGUCGACUUACUAGGCGUUGUGGGCUGCGCGUGCCGAUUCACCACCCUUGAAUCGAAUCCUUAAAGAUCAAGUCACCAACUGGAAGAAGAGUUCAUCAAUCUUGAAGAUCAUACCAUUGACCAAACUGCUCAGGUGUGAAUUAGAAAGAUUGAACAAAGAAACAGGUUGUCACAUUUACCUCGUGCCUGCUUGCCAUGUGUUCGAGUCAACCUUCAAGAAUCAAGCCUCAACGGCCCUUGAAGAAGUUUCCAGCCAACUUCAAGAUCAAGCCUCGACUGCCCUUGAUGAAAUCACAAGUCCGAUUCAAGAUCAAGUGUCUACCACUCUUGAAUCAAAACCUAGUUCAAGAAUAAGCUGUGGAAAAAUCAACAAUUGGAGGAAUCCAGAAAAUCCUUCAACCCAGUUCAAGAUCAAAGCUGUGGAAAGUCAACAAGCGCAACAAAACACGUGCCGAUUCACCCACUACCAAAGCCGAAGAUCAUCUACCACAUGAAGCUCCUUGUGGUCCAAUUUCAACCUUCAAGAUCAAGCUUCGACGGCCCCUGAAGAAAUUUCAAACAAAAAGUUCAAGAACAAGCCUCAACGGGCCUUGAAGAAAUCUCGAGCCCAAUUCAAGAUCAAGCCUCAACGGCCCUUGAAACAAUCUCCAGCCCAAUUCAAGAUCGUGCCUCGAUGGCCCGUGGAUCGACAUCUACAGUAAGGGACUUCAAAACGCAUCUCCUACACGUGACAAGCACAUGUACACGACGUGCCUUGAAGUGGGGGCAUUUUGUAGACAUCGAAAUUUCGUAAAUAAAUGUUGACCGGUAAAUCAAAGUGUCAACGCUCAUGUAUUACAUAAAUUUUACACGUAGCGUGUGAUUCAACGAAAAUUGAAAUGAGUUGGAAAAGUCAUCAAAUAGGACACGUGUCAACACCUGGCAGAAACGACUUAUUUCAUCUGGAAUAUUAUAUUUCAAAAUUAGGCCUUGGAAAUUUCUAUAAAUACAAGCCUAUUUCAUUCAUUGAAGAAAACCAAAAUCAUUAGGCAAAACUCUUGAAGCUCUGAAGCUCUGAAACUCCGAAGCUCUCAAGCAUCCAGGUUCCCGAAGAAUCAAGAAAGCGUUCUUCGUUCAUCGUUCUUCCAAGAUCAAGCCCGACGGCCCUUGGAUCAACAAUCGUCCACCUUCAAGAUCAAGCCCCGACGGCCCUUGAAGAAAGUGUUCUUCGUUCUUCGUUCUUCCAAGAUCAAGCCCCGACGGCCCUUGGAUCAACCAUCCACCAAUUCAAGAUCAAGCCCCGACGGCCCUUGAAGAAAGCACCAUCGUUCAUCAUCCGUUCAUCCAAGAUCAAGCCCCAACGGCCAUUUGGAUCAACAACGUCGACAAAUCCACACAUCCAACCGUUCUUCAAGAUCAAGCCCAAAAGCCCUUGAAGAUCUGUUCAUCACUGUUCUUCAAGAUCAAGCCCAAAAAGCCCUUGGAGAUCCGUUUGUCACUUGUUUCUUCAAAGAUCAAGCCCAAAAGCCCCUUUGAAGAUCCACUCAAAUCCACCUUCAAAGAUCAAGCCCACGGCCCUUUGAAGAAACUUCCAACAGUUCAUCCAAGAUCAAGCCUCGACGGCCCUUGGAUCAACGAAACACCCACCAAUCAACACCUUACGGAGAUCGAAUCAGAGGAUCAAAUAGAAGAGAGAUUGUAACCCAAAAUCAUCAAAUACAUAAUAUUUGUUUGUGCACGUCGUUCUUGUCUCUUUCGUUUCAGGAAUUUUCCGUGUUCACAGUAUCCACUAGUGUAAAUAUUUU